AUUCCAUAAUGAGGGCACUUUCGUAAUAACUCUUUGUACCUUUCCCAUGCUUCAUACAAGGACUCAUCAUCCAUUUGUUGGAAGGCAAUGACCUCGUUCCUCAAAUU
Gossypium arboreum is the source of this 107-nucleotide non-coding RNA. Lineage: Eukaryota; Viridiplantae; Streptophyta; Magnoliopsida; Malvales; Malvaceae. The record is from Rfam.